GAAAAUCGGUUAAAAAUAGUUAAAUAUUUAACUUAGAUAAAUUUAUAAGUCCAUACUGAUAAAAGGUGAAAUUAAUUUUUUAGUAUGUGGGGGAUAAAAAAUGAAGUUUAAAUUGAAGCUAUUAAGAUAGAGGAAUGAACCAGGAUUAGAUACCCUGUUACACUUUAUUUAAAUGAUAAUUACCUGGGUACUAAGCAGUUAUUAUCUUGAAACUCAAAGGAUUUGGCGGUAACCUAGUCUAUUUAGAGGAACCUGUCCUGUAAUCGAUAGUCCACGCAAUAUCUUGCUUUACCUUGUAGAAAACAGUUUGUAUACCGUCAUUAUUAGAUAACUUUAAAAAAUCAUAGAGUUAUUGUAAUAGUUUAGCUAGUAAAUUAGAUCAAGGUGCAGCUUAUGGUAGAGUAGAGAUGGGUUACAAUAUAAUAGGCAUACACGGAGUAAUAAAUGAAUAUUUAUUAUGAAGGUGGAUUUAAGAGUAAGAAGAUUUUAAUAAGAUCUUUUGACUUUAGCUCUAGGUUAUGUACACAUCGCCCGUCGCUCU
This 541-nucleotide ribosomal RNA is filed under the name Trachysalambria crosnieri. Its description in RNAcentral is "partial 12S ribosomal RNA". The stretch from base 186 to 541 matches the Rfam family "Microsporidia small subunit ribosomal RNA", at positions 752 to 1205 of the family's 1311-position model. The record is from RNAcentral. Lineage: Eukaryota; Metazoa; Arthropoda; Malacostraca; Decapoda; Penaeidae.